This 253-nucleotide ribosomal RNA is filed under the name uncultured bacterium. RNAcentral describes it as "partial 16S ribosomal RNA". It matches the Rfam family "Bacterial small subunit ribosomal RNA", at positions 524 to 776 of the family's 1533-position model. The record is from RNAcentral.
UACAUGGGGUGCAAACGUUGCUCGGAAUUAUUGGGCGUAAAGCGCGCGUAGGCGGUUACUUAAGUCGGAUGUGAAAGCCCUCGGCUUAACUGAGGAAGUGCACCCGAAACUGAGUAGCUAGAGUACGAAAGAGGGUCGCGGAAUUCCCGGUGUAGAGGUGAAAUGCGUAGAUAUCGAGAGGAACACCUGCGGCGAAGGCGGGUUGCUGGGCUGACACUGACGCUGAUGCGCGAAAGCCAGGGGAGCGAACGGG